CUACGGGGUGCUCCAGUGGGGAAUAUUGCACAAUGGAGGAAACUCUGAUGCAGCAACGCCGCGUGGAGGAUGACACAUUUCGGUGCGUAAACUCCUUUUAUGUGAGAAGAUAAUGACGGUAUCACAUGAAUAAGCACCGGCUAACUCCGUGCCAGCAGCCGCGGUAAUACGGAGGGUGCAAGCGUUACUCGGAAUCACUGGGCGUAAAGCGCGCGCAGGCGGCUUUUCAAGUUGGAUGUGAAAUCCUAUGGCUUAACCAUAGAACUGCAUCCAAAACUGUUAAGCUAGAGUCUGGGAGGGAAGAUGGAAUUAGUUGUGUAGGGGUAAAAUCCGUAGAGAUAACUAGGAAUACCAAAAGCGAAGGCGAUCUUCUGGAACAGUACUGACGCUGAGGCGCGAAAGCGUGGGGAGCAAACAGGAUUAGAUACCCUCGUAGUC
This 438-nucleotide ribosomal RNA is filed under the name uncultured bacterium. RNAcentral describes it as "partial 16S ribosomal RNA". It matches the Rfam family "Bacterial small subunit ribosomal RNA", at positions 339 to 795 of the family's 1533-position model. The record is from RNAcentral.